RNAcentral lists this long non-coding RNA (25831 nucleotides) under Prunus persica (peach). RNAcentral's name for it is "long non-coding RNA (PPER_LNC002817)". Lineage: Eukaryota; Viridiplantae; Streptophyta; Magnoliopsida; Rosales; Rosaceae. The record is from RNAcentral.
CUGAGGCGCAGUUGGUUUUGAUUGUCGGGAUGCAGCAGUUGUAGUAGUAGUUGACGGGAGGGAGGUAGCAGCAAUGUGACAGAAAAUGACCACGUCUAGAGCAUCAAUAUUUGAUUACCCUUUUUCUCUCUCUCUCUCUCUCUCUCUCUCUCUCUCUCUCUCUCUCUCUCUCUUACAUGGCCUGCAGAGCGUGGGUACGUAUUUAUGCUUCGAAUGCCAAUUAAUAAAUGAAAUUGUCUUUUAAUUAGAGUUAUAGGACAAGCUGUCCUACAAACCUCGGUCACCAUAUUCAUCAUCAUAUAUAUCCAAAUUACCUAAGCUAACUACCUUCUUCAACCAACCUAGCUAACAAUUUUCUAUCAUAAUUAACAUUUUAAUUGUAGUUAUGGACAUUAAUUCACUAUUUGGCUUGCGAGUAGUCUGAUUAAUGAGGUCUCAUAAUAUGGUAUUGCUCAUGUUUACUUCUUUUGAGAAUCUUUCCUAUUGAAAUGAGAUAUGACAUACUAAAUUCACACACACUACACGCAGUGGCAAACCUAUUAAGGUGUCUCCCCUUGUCGGAAAAUCUAUUAUAGGUGCUGCAUAUUGCACCUUUGCUCAACCUAGGAGGUGCACUCUAGGUGUUCAGUGAAAAUCCUAAACGAAGUCAGUCUGCUGUUGUGCUGUGUUGUGUUGCGCAGCGCACUUGUUGUUGUUUCUUUAAACCUUGACCAAAAUUGCACCUCUACUAAAAAAAAUCAACCCAUAAUCUUUCAUGUGAGAACAAUAUUAUCAUUUUUAUGCACUAACUCUGCGGAUUUGCUCAUCAACAGGACCUUUUUAUAUAUUAUCAAAAAUAAAAAGGAAAUGGGCAAUUCAUUUUUUUUAUACAUUUUGUAUGCUACUUAAGACGCUAGAUGGAUCUAGACAAACUAGAUGAAUUCAUUAUGAUUGACGACGUUUGAAUUAGGGCAUAUCGAUUUAGAAAUACGCUGAUCGGCAUUAAGUCGUAAAAAAAAUAUAAACAACGUAACGUCAAUCAUAACAAAAUACUUUUCACGGCAGGAUGAGUUUGGUGGGCUGAACCUUUCAGAAUGGGCACUGCUUGGCCGGCCUAGGAGGCUAUGCCCUAAUUCAAAGAACGUCAACGGGAAUAUAUUCAUGCAGACUGCUUCAUUGUCCAUUGUCCAAAACCCAGAUACAUGAACGCUCACUGCUCACUACAUGAUAAUAUUCAUAUACUCUGUAUUCUCUGUAUUGUCAACAUUUUGACCUUUGUCAAUGUGUCAUUCUCAUGCAUAAAAAACAAAAAGUAAACCUAAGAAGUAGGUCACGUCACUGAGCAUAAAAAAGGGCCAUUAAUAGAUUCUUUCAAGAAAAAUGUACCUUCAUUUCUUCAUCAUGUGAAAUACCAAGGGUCGGUGGCAUGAGUUGUUAGAGCACUUUCACCGCAUAGUCUAGUCUCGCGACAAAAGGUCCUUUCAGGCUGAAGAAAUUCACUCCACCAUACAAAUUUAGCCUGGGCAAAUAGUGGGCUCCACAAAGAUUGGAGAGGCUCGAAGACAAGAAUAACCUGAGUUGUGGUCUAAGAUUGCUGAUGUUAAUUAGAGAAUAAUUUUUUAAAAAAAAUUUAACAAAAAAUUCAGAAUCUUUUUUUAUACAUACCUAGCAAUUUUAUUAUUAUUAAUCUCAUAGAUAAAAAUAAAAUUAAUCCCAUGUGAAUAUAAUUGCAUUUGGGUUACCAUGACAAUGGGUGGAAAGACAUAAAAAAUAUUGCUAAGCCAAACACUAUUCGCGUGAAUAGUGUCUGCCUUUACUUGGCCUUAUCCUUUAGUGUGGCACUAUAGAUAAAAAUGCUCUUAAGUAACGCAACAUCUAUAGCUCUUUCAUUUUACAUUGGUCAAAUACACGUACUAAAAGUUAUAAAUAAAUAAAAAGACAUACCUAUAAUAUAGAUGAAAGUUAACCUAGGUUUGUUCUCAGUUUGUGCUUCACGAUUGUUUUAAUUUCAUUUGUUUGCAUAACAACAUAAAGAGAACAUGCAUAUAUACAUUACUAGAAAACUUAAAAAACAUUACUAGAAAAUUUCAAAAAGAGUGACGGAUGAUCUGAGGCCUGUAAUAGCAAAGGCCAUAAUGUACCGGUAGUCAAAAAUGGAUUCGUCACUACUCACAUAGAAGUCAUAUAUUACAUUAUUGUGUUUAUUACAUGGUGUUGCCAAUAAUUUUUGUCAAUGUAAACAAAGUCGGUGGACAGUAAAUUUUGCCAAUGUAAACAAAGUCGGUGACCAAUAGAACGACGGGGCAAUACCAAAACCAAAAAAUUAAUGUGGUGUUACAAGAGUAAAGUAGAAAAAGGCUACUAUAACAACUACAAAGUAGGAAGGUUAGGGAAGGAGAAAAAAAAAAAAAAGGGGUGCACCGUCAACAUGUUUUAAAUACUUUCAUCAAAGCUUCUUAUAUAAAAUAGUCAAUGGUUCUAAUGGAAGUCGCCAUUUUGUAAUUUUGGCACAUUAAUAUAUGACAAGACUUGACCUUUGCCCAUUGUGAUUGUGAUGGUUGUUGAAUUAUCUGAACCUGAUUAGCAUAAUCUGGAUGUCUUGAAAUACCAUCUUUUCUCCAAAAAAAUAAUAUCUGUAUGUCUUGAUUGGAAACACCAAAAACAUUUAGUGGACACAUUUGUCAUCAUCCGUAAAGUUCAAUGGAACACAAACGUUAUACGGCCAUGAUAUUGCCCAAUGCACAAUACGUUUUUUCUAUUGAAGAAAUGGAGGAAACCUCUUAUUUUAAUAAUUUUAAAAAGUUAUAAAAAUGGACUUAGUUAAGUUGACUAAAUUGAAUGUGCUUCUCACUCUGUACCUAAGUUGAAUUUCCUUUUCCAUAAUCUACAUAUGUAAAGCAAAAGGCAUGGUGAAACAUUCAAAAUACCAGAAAAUGUCAUUGGUUAAUGAAUAUUAAGAAUUGAAAUUAUUAUGGAUCCUAUUUUUUUGAAACACAACUAUCCAUUAUCUUUUUUAAUUCUAAAAUAUAUAUAUAUUUUUUUAAAGGCCUCUCGCAAAAGCAGAAACGUGUACGGAAAGGCUAAUUUAUAUUAAAAUAGAACAUCACUUCCAUCAACAAAACAAAAAGUUGAAAAACGUUAAUUAUGUUGGUUGGAACAUAUAUAUCUAAUUUUUAAUAAUAGAAAUGCUAGUUUGACAUGUUGGGUAUUUCCUAAUAGGCUUAAUUAGUGUUUUACUUAUGAAAUGGAUGCCCCGUGUUUUACUUAUGAAAUGGAUGCACAGAGAGAGAGAGAGAGAGAGAGAGAGAGAGAGAGUGGGUGGGGUGCAAUGGAGGUGUGAUGGGGGUUAAGUGAUGAAAAUGGACAGAAAUGAUAAAGUGAGAAAGUUUUAGUGGUUUCUAUAUAUUAUAGGAGUUAAGUGAGAACAUUUUAAUUUUAACCGCAAUUGGGAAUAAAUUUGUGUUUUAAAUUACACCACCCAUCAUAUAAAAAACAAUUAUAUUUCUUUAAAAAGAUUAGUAGAUAAUGCUACCCAAUCCCAUUCGAGUUUCUAAUAUUAGAAAGAAAGUUUUUUUUUUUUUUUUGGUCAAGAUAUUAGAAAGAAAGUAACCAUUAAAAUAAGAACUAAUUGUACCAAAAUUUUACUGUUUACUUUAUUCCAGAAGAAACAAAACUGAAAUAAAAAUGUCUCAGAUUCAAAGGACCGUGGCACCCGAUGAUGGUGGUUUCGGGGCAAAUGCACAAGCAAGCAGUAGCAUGGCCAAUUUGCCAUUGAACAACUAGCUCGCGUGGCAGCUGGGUUCUAACUGGCAUACACGUGGCAGAUAUCAAGGUUCACUUGCAACGUACACUUGGUGAUUGGAACUCUUGAUCUGUCUGUCAUACACGUGGCAGACAUCAACGGAGGCUGCAGCCAAAACUAUAUGGAUCCCAACAAUUAAAACCCAAAUAAGAAAAUGGGUCUUAGUAUUUAGACACCACGGGCUGUCACAAUACUAUAUUUUUUAUUUUUGGUACUGCAUUUAUACAAUAUUUUUCUCAAUAUAAUGAUAUAAAUGAGCAAUGGACCGUCUAAGUCAAACAAUUAAUUAAGCCACAUACAUACAAUUAAUUAUGCUUAAUUAGCAUUUAAAUAGUAAUUAGCAAUUAAAACCUGGCACACGCCGACAAAUCAUAAUUGACGGUUUUAGUUUAGAAGAAUCUUGCAUAUAACUUAAUUAACCGACCAUAUUUCUAUCAGGUAAUCUCAAACAUAUGCUAUAUAAAUAAAUAAAAAUAAAUAAAUGUACUUAUGACAACAUAAUUAAUAAUAAUAUGGCAAAUAAAGCUUAAUUAAUUUUGCAGAGGACAGUUCAAGGUUAGCUGACCAAACAGUUGAGAUUCUUGGGGGGCCGACCUUUCUAGGGAUCGGAAGAAUGACAGCCAACCUACAGAAUGUAAAUAGUCGGCGCUAUUCUUAAUUACAUGGAUAAUUAAUUACUCAAUUAAGUUUUUGCAUGAGAAAAAAAUUGAUUAUCGUGGAAUCUUCACAAAGUUUAUCUCAUAGUACGCUAACUGGCAAGUGAGUGCUGUUUAAGCAAACUCUGUGGCAAUAUUACCGUAGGCUCCUGGCGAAAUAAUAAUAAGAAAAUAAUAUAUAGUAAAUUAAACAUCAAUCACCCUAGCCUAGCUAGUUGACAACUUGGGAUGAAGAAACAAAAACAACUGUCUCUACUUGGAUGCAAUCAGAUAGAGAUCAAGUGGACAAAAAUGAAAAACCAAAUUGUUAUUUUUUUUUAAUGAUAAAAAGUUUAGGAAAAGGGGAGGCUACCUCAUCCCAGAAUUAUGACAUACCAAGAUCUAUUUGAGGACUUACAAAUGGGGUUUCAGCUCCUUUUUUAUUUUUACAUAUUACACAUCAAGAGAAAUUGUAAGCCGCGGAACUCGAACCUAGUCCUGGAUAGCAAAAGAGAAUGAUCAUUACCAACUCAAUCAACUUUCGUUUGCCAAAAUUGUUAUUUUCACUUCUUUUUUUCUCCCUUAUUUUCACUUAAUUGUCAUUAUAUGUACUAAUAUUUCUUAGCUCUUUAUAAAUAAGAGUCAAAUUAAUCACAGGCCGACACAUACGAAUAAUUAAAUUAUUAAAAUUAGAAAGAAAAAGAUAAAUUUGCACGUGUGUAAAUAUGAUUUAUGGUCAUGAUUUGAUUUGGGUGAAAAAUCCGCAGUAUAUUGAUGGAAAGGAGUGCGGGUAGUAUAAAUGUGUUUAAUUGGAUGCGUGGGGGGAGGCAUGAGUAUCUUGUUAUGUAUGGGAAUUGUGUAAUUCAAGGCGGACUCCAUUGGAUAUUGCUGGAGGAUCUACUGCUACCUGUGAGAGAUUUCAACUAGAAAAUCUCAUCUCCACAGAUUCUGAAUAUAUGAGAGAAAAUCUCACAGAUUCUUGUUGGAGUGAGUAAAAUCUCUGAAAUCCAAUAUGCAUCGCUGCUGUUUCAAUAUUCAUUCCUUAAUUAUAGAAUAAUUUUUAGAGUUAUUUUCACUGACACCCUUUGAGAUUUUUUAUGUUUUCACAAAAUUGCCUCAAGUCUAAAAAAUUAUAUGAACACAUCUUCAGGUUUCGGUUUUUUUAAAUUUUUUUACAAAAUCCCUUUUCAUUGAUUGUUUGUCCAAAAUUUGAUGAUUUCAUUGAAAAAAAAACUUAUGCAAAUGCCAACAUUAUCCUCAAUGAAGUAUAUGCAAUAUGAUAUCAAAGUCCAACUUUGUCAUUUGGAGAAUUUUUUUUGCAUAAAAUUAUCAAUCUUUGGAUGAAAAAUCACUAAAAGUGAGUUUUGUGAAAACAAUUUAAAACCUUAAGGGGUGUACAUGGAAUUUCUAAAACCUCAAGGAGUUUUGUGAAAAAACCGAAAUUUUUAAAGGAUAUUAUUGUAAAUAACUCUAAUUAUUAAUAAUUAAUUUGUAACUUAACUUGUCGACAGUCAACACGUUCAAUAUUUUUUAGUUGGCAUGGUGGUGCUUAGACUUCAUAUUAUCUCUUAUAAAGAAGGACUUUUGAGAACCAUCCGAAAUAUCCGCAGGCUGAGCUCAGCUCAUUGGCUUUAAUGUAAAUUUCUUAUUUAAGACGUCUUAUUAUGUGAUUUGUUGAGUUUGGGUUAGACUUAUUGUGUCUUCGGACUUUUCGUUUUAUCAAUGAAGUUUUCCUCGUUUCGUUGAAUUUCUCUCAAAUUUUCAUCAUGUAUUUACUUUAAAAAAAAACCCUAGCCUUUUAAUUAGUUUUAGUUUUCCACUAAUAAAACUACAAUCGUUGUAAUUUCAUUAGUUUGCAUGUCAGAAACUAGCCGGGAAAUCUAACACGUGGUUUCCAAUCGCAGCUACGAUUUGGGAUGCUGAUGAUGAUUAUGAUUAGGAAAUUAUAUGCAGACAGGAGAGAUAGAGUGAAUGUAUCAUCAGAUACAAACCCACGACCCAUCCAUUCGCAUAUUCUUCAUGAAACGUUAAUAAAAAAAAAUAAAAGAGAAUUAAAGUAAUUAAAUAAACGAUGACAACCAAAUCAGCAAUAAAUUACUAAAUUAAGAAACACACCAGCCCCCGUCAGCACAUUCAUGCAUCCAAAACCACAACCCACCCCCUAUAAAUACCACUCCCAACUCUCACACCUUCCUCACUCCUCCUCCUCAGUGUUUACUCACAUUUCCAACCCUCCUCCACACCAUUAGACACUUGGCGCCCAUCAUUCAAUCAAAAUGCCUUCUUCAAACUCGCCAACGUCUCUAACUCAAACUCAAAUGGUGGCCAAGUCCACCGUCUUCCCCGACCAGCCCUCCACACUCGGUGACCUCAAGCUCUCCGUCUCCGACCUCCCCAUGCUCUCCUGCCACUACAUCCAGAAGGGCCUCCUCUUCCCUCUUCCUCCUUUCCCCAUCCAACACUCUCUCAUCCCCCUCCUCAAAGCCUCUCUCUCCCAGAGCCUCUCUCGUUUCCCUCCCUUGGCCGGCCGCUUGACCACUUACUCCGACGGUCACGUUCACAUCACCUGCAACGACGCGGGCGUCGACUUCAUCCACGCCUCUGCCCCCAGUCUCUCCACCCGAGACAUUUUGGGCCCCACUGACGUCCCCAAUUGCGUCAAGGACUUGUUCCCCUUCGACCGCACCGUCAGCUACACCGGCCACCACAACUCAAUCCUGGCCGUCCAGGUCACCGAGCUCAGCGACGCUGUUUUCAUCGGCUGCGCUCUCAAUCACGCCGUCACCGACGGCACCUCCUUCUGGAACUUCUUCAACACCUUCGCCGAGCUCUGCAGACUGUCGUCAUCAUCAUCACCUAAUGAGAACAAGAAACUUACCAUAGCGAAGCAGCCCGACUUCAGCCGGAGCUCCGUUAUCAUAUCGCCUGCCGUGCUCCGGUUCCCGGAAGGAGGUCCCAAAGUCACCUUCUCCCUCACCGAGCCUUUGCGCGAGCGAAUUUUCAGCUUCAGCACAGAAGCGAUUCAAAACCUCAAAUCCCGAACCAACAGUAAAAAAUGGGCCGAAUUCCAAAACGACGACGCUUUAAUAAGCGCCGUUGAGAUUCUCGGGAAGCAGAGCAACGACCCCUACGAGAUUAACAACUCAAACGGCGCCAGAGUGACAUCAAUUAUCGAAAACUGGUUCAAGAACUCCAACGCCAAAACGGCACCCGAAAUUUCGUCGUUUCAGUCUCUCUGCGCGCUCCUCUGGCGAUCCGUGACGCGCGCGAGGAAAUUGCCGUCCUCGAAAACGACGACAUUCAGAAUGGCUGUGAAUUGCCGUCACAGGCUGGAGCCCAAGCUGGACGCGUACUACUUCGGGAACGCAAUCCAGAGCAUCCCGACGUACGCGACGGCGGGAGAGGUGCUGUCGAACGACACACGGUGGUGCGCGGAGCAGCUGAACAAGAACGUGAAGGAGCACGACAACGACAAGGUGCGAGGUGUCGUAGAGGAUUGGGAGAUGGACCCGCGGGUGUUUCCGCUUGGCAACUUCGACGGUGCGACGAUGACGAUGGGGAGCUCGCCGAGAUUUCCGAUGUACGACAACGAUUUCGGGUGGGGGAGACCAUUAGCAAUUCGGAGCGGGAGGGCGAAUAAAUUUGACGGAAAGAUAUCGGCGUUUCCGGGGAGGGAAGGAGCUGGGAGCGUUGAUCUUGAGGUGGUUUUGGCGCCUGACACUAUGGCUCUGCUUGAAACGGACUCUGAGUUCAUGCAAUACGUGUCGAGCUGAGCUUGUGGAUGAUGUCAUAUUUUCUAUAUAAAAACAAAAGUAAGAAGAAAAAGGGAUGUGGAUGAAGGGGAAAUGGUUGGGUGCGGUUGAUCAAGGUCCCUAUUUUUAUAUCUGCACUCUGCUGCUGACCGUUGGAUUGUAUGCGUCCUUGGGAUGAACGGGGGUGAUUUGGUUCAGAGGCCAAUGGAUGGGGGGAUGUUGAUCUGUGUAUUUGUGUCAUUUUGUUUCGUUUACUGGUGUGUGUCUCGUUUAGAUAUGAAUUAUAAUUUUAUUGACUUUUGUUUUUUCAACUAUAUUUCUUUUGUUUUUUUUGUUCUGAUUUUGUGGGGCCAACGUUCUAACAAAAUUAAUUAGUCUUAUCACCAGGUUUCGUUUCGUUUCGUGUACACAUUAUUAGCAUUCACGAGGCUUUUGUGUAUAGAUUUUGUCAUUUUGGGGAUUCAUAUACGAAUUUAGCAUUUUUUAUGGGUUCAUGUAGCAUUUUUUUUUGGGUUUCGAGUAAGAUUUUGGUAUUUUUGGACUUUUGUGUCUUAGUUUAGUAUUUUUUUCAGGUUCGUGUCUAGAUUUGAUCAAUUUGGGGUUUCGAUGGUAGAUUUUGGAAUUCUCCAGAGUUUUGCGUAUCAACUUAGUAUUUGUUAUAAUUUAAUGUGUAGAUUUUCGAAUAUUUAGGUUUCAAUUAUAGAUUUUGGCAAUUGAAGGUUUCAUGUAUGAAUUUAGCAUUUUGAGCGCUUGGAGUAUAGAUUUUUGCUUUUUGAAGCAUCAUGGAUGAAUUUAGUAUUUUUAAGAUUUAAUAUAACAUUUUGUGAUAUCGAGUAUAAAUCUUGGCAUUUUCAUUAUGAAUGAGUAGAGUUUGUGUAUAUAUAUGCAAUCUCAAUCAUUAAAUGUGCUUUAAUCUAAUACUCUAAAAUGUGUGUUAUGAUGUGUGUCCUUACUUGAAACCCUUUAAAAAAAAAAAAAACUAAAUCAUACAUGAAACCCCAAAAAUGACAAAAAAGCUAAAUCUAACAUCAACACCACAAAAUUUUACAUGAAACCCUAAAAAAUGCUUAGUUCAUAUUCGGACCCAAAAAAAAUACUAACUUCAUACUUGAAACUCGAAAAUUCUCAAAUUUAUACAUGAAAUCUCUAAGAGUGAAAAGCCAAACAAGAGACCUAUGAUGUCAAAAUCCAAAUGGACCUAUCCUAUCAUAUGGUAAGGAAACCUACAAUUAACCCAUAUCAUUCUCAUGUCCGGGUGUCCUAAGAUUUUUAAAGAUAAAAAUAAGAUUAUAAAAUUUUCAAAAAAGUUGAGGAACUUAAUCAUUUUUUGGGUUGAAAUUUUUCUGGAGAUGUAACAAGUAUAUAGAGCUUUUAAAAAUUCCAACAAAAUUGUGUAUUUAAUAUUGGCAUAUGCACCACGAACACAAAGGCAAAAUAUAAUCUUCAUUUGGGCCUUUCACAAACAUUAUUGAAUUGAGAUUAAGCCCGAUUCCUAGCCUACUGAAAUAAUAUUGUCCGUCUUGAAAGGCCCACUUUUUGGGCCUCACUCAUCUUAGCCUCUUCGAUGAGUCCAGAAACCAUACGACGUCGUUCCAACCUUGAUGCAAUGCAAGAAACUCUAUUACGUAUCCCAAAUCAUAGGCUCUCUCAACUGGCUCGCUAGGUGCUUGAACACGCCAGUGUGAAGCUCCUAGAGUUGGGACCUCAGCAGCCGAAAUCCAACGCUUGCAGAAGAGCCACGUGGGAAGAUCCCGAGCGCCGGAAAGCUCGCCUGCGAUUCAGGAUCGUCAAAGACGAUGAGCAGAAGCCGGAUUCUGAGAAAUCCGAUUGCGUUCGUUUGGUGGGCUGUGUUGGUUUGUUGCUUUUUAAUUGUUACAAUCUCAAUGCUGAGGCUUCCAGAGAUCCCGCUUGGGUUGCAAUAUCCCACUACAAAAACAAGUAAACAAACUUCAGAGAAUGACAAAUUUUCGAUAGGGAGGUUUGGGAAGAUGAUGCUUGAAAUGUUGCCUGAAGAUCUUGCUUUCACUGUGUUUGUUCCUUCAGAGGAAGCUUUCGAGCGCGAUCUGAGGCUCAGCCCAAAUGAAAGUUUAGUGGGGGAGAAGAUGAAUGACGACACGUAUGCAAUUAUGUCUCGAAUAUUGGGGUUCUCGGCUGUUCCUCGGAGGCUUGCUUCAGUCAAUGUGCCGAUUGACAAGGAGCUGUCGUAUGAUUCGAUAUCUGGGUUUGUGUUGUAUAUCUCGAAAGAGGAAGAUGGAGCGUUGACGGUCAACAGGGUUCGAUCCAGAAGAGUGGAUCUGAGGAAGAAGGGAAGCGUUGUGCAUAUCAUGGAUGGAGUGAUCAUGGAUGCUGAGUUCCAACAAUCAGUUCAGCCUGAGGAACAAGAUUGAGUUCACUCGUGAAUUUUUGUAACAUUGUACUUGGAUUACUGUAGAAACAUAUAUAUGAGAUGUUGUAAUUCUUUCUAGAUAUUUUUAUUACACAAUUAUACUAAUAAAGUUCUUAGGCAAGGGAAUUUGUUUUUUUUGUUUACACAAUCAAGAAUGGUAGAAUUGUAACAACGCAUAAAUGAGUCAUAAGGUUAAUAAAACAGAUGAAAUGGGUCUACAAAGUAAGAUGGGAAGCAAAGCAACCCAAGUUUUAGAGUACAAAAUGAAUAUGUCCGUCAUCACUUGACAACCCGUAAAUUAUAUGUUUAAAAGAAACUGAGCACCAUCCGGGACAUGGCAAAAAAUUAGGGGUAAUUAUUAAAUCGGCCAUGUCCUAUGCAUCCCUCCAAUUCCAACUUGAAAUUCAUCGAGGCUGGAAAGAAGUGAGAGUAUGCAUUUUAGUUAUCUUAGUCGACAGAUGACGCCCCUCAAAGCUCCAACCCGUAUAUAGAUACUUCUUAGCUUCCGGCUGCAGCUGGUACAGCAACUUGUUUUGAGUCUUCUGCCUUUUCAUGCUCCUUAUUGUGCAUCUGAAAUAUUCCAAAAUUUUCAAAUCAGAAUACAUUAUGUGAAGUUUGUAAAGAAAAUCAAGGAAGAUCCAAAUAUUUGUGACAAUAUUAUAGCACCAUGCACAUUGCUUGACAAGCCAGGCUCAAUGAAACAGCGGAAAAGCUAGAACCAUAAUGGACAGAACAAGAAUGAAUAGUGGCCUUUUCAUGCUCCUUUUGUUUUCUCAUUCACCCUCAAACACCGAAGGAAUAAUUGCUAAGGUGAGGAAUCCUAUAUUAGAAUUACACAUUCAAGGAAAUGCAUCUUACCUUGUUGUUAAUCAAGUUGUGAAGAGCAAUAACACUUCGGAUGAGAGAAGAAAGAUAGAUAACCAACAUCAUAUCAUUUGUUUUCACUGCACAUGACAACAAGGACAUGAUUCAACAUUUUAGCAGAAUAGGCACUUGAGCACGGAUCAAAAAUCUAACUGUAAAGCAGUUUAAAUGAUAAAAUAUCUACAGAGGCAGAAUAAACACAGCAGGUUUAUUUACCUGAAAAAGCCUUGAUCAACUCGGAAACAUUAAGAUUUGGAAGUAGAUUGAACACAUCCUACAAGGAUUUUGAAUAGAGAAAUAAGAAAACGUACAGGUGGUAUGGUGAAAAUAUUAAGACUAGGCAAAAAUUAGAAAGAACUCAAAACCUUAUAAAAGACAGAGACAUUAUGAUUCUAGCUUAUACUACAUAUAGGUUACGCCAAAACCGAACCUGUAGAUGGUACAAAAUCUCGUGGUUUAAAGGGAGCUUUCCAUCAAUAACAAGGUCAAGAUAACCCCGAAUCUCUCGAAGUCUUGCUUCCAAUCCCUUCAAGGCUGUGAGUUUCCCUGUAACCUGUACAAGACUUGGAAACUAAGUUUGUUGUAUUCAUGUUAGACUUGUCAUGUGUCUGUGUGUGAAUAAGAAGUAAAAACCAGACCUCUGUUGCAAGAGUGCUGAUGGUUGUAUCCUUCACAUCUCUAAGCAAGUGUUCCACUCCUGUUAAAGAGUAACAUGGUAACUCAAAACUAGAACUAGAUACUCACUCACCAACCCACAAAAGAAAGAAAGAAAUUGAUCUCUGCAUGCAAUAAGUUGGGAGUUCUUUUGAUUCAAUGCUAAUAAAGGGGGAGCACCGGUUAUUUAUCCCAUCGGCAUACCAAUUUCCUCAACUUCAUGGGCAGCAAUUUCAGAAGGCACAUGAACGAACACCUUCUGGCUUUUCUGGGUAGCGUUCUGUAAUCAAACUAAAAUGUUAAUUCAAAUUUGCAUGAAACUGGAUUUCAAGUUAAAAGUAACACUAACCAUAGAGCUUCGUUGCUAAUAGUACACAAGAACAAUAGAAAAUGGAGCUUUUUUUAAUUAAAAAAAAAAUGGUGAUUCUACCUCUUUAACCUCUUCAACAGUACAGUAAGCUUUUGUGGGUAUACCCAGCUCCUUUGGUUGGACAUCAAUUAUGACCAAGACAGGAUUUGGGACAUAGCUGCAAAAUCAAACGGAAUGGAGAAAGGAAGAAAAAUUAAUGAGAACUUAGAAGGACAAAGAAAGGAAACAGAUAUUCAUGUAGGCUGCAGGCUUCCCCAUGUUAGAAAACCAAAAAGGGGGGCAGAAAGGCAGCAUAUUGUACCACUGCACAAGAAUAUCACUUAAAGGCACAGUGCUUCCUUAUAACCAACCAUCACUAUUUUGUAGAAAACUGACACGCAACCACAAGGUUUCCAAAUUCCCAGACAUCUUAGUUCUUGUUUUUCUAUAUCUUCAAGUUAGAUCAGCAAAAUGGUAUAGUACCGUGCAUGUCGGAGAGAGGAAAGAAAGAGGUACACUUCUGCUCCUUUUUGUUGGUUAAAAACUUAAUACGGUUUCUCUAAUCUCAAUUUGAACAAUGUCAACCUUAGAAUACUCAAAUUAUUUCAAUGUUAUCCCUCCACAUAAUUUUGUUAAUCAGACUAGAUGUUAGAAACAUUCAUGAUAUUUGUAUGCAAUCUUAAGUACAAGGAGCGCUGGUUUGCAUUGGGUUGGUCGACUUACUCAUUAAAUAAAGCGUGAAUGUCCAAGUCAUUUUCUCGCAAUUUUGGACCCGUGCUGUACCAUCCCACAACAUGCUCCUUUGCUGGAAAAAGUUAUUUGUCAAUUUUUCAUCAUAACCGACAAUGUACAUAUGUGGAAAUAAGAGAAUUUUCUCGACUAAUACCGUUUAUUCUCUUCGCCAUGGCAUACAUGGCCUCAUGGUAGUUGUGAUCAAGAAACCAAAUACUAGGGUCCCUGUCAUCUUCUUCAAAGGGCACUGUGAAUAGAGAUCAAAUAUUAUUUGUGUAAAAAGUAAUGCACUUGAUCUGGAAACAUAAAGGUUUUAAAAUCAAGAACAUAGAAAAGGCCAAAUAAGAAAAUAUUUUAGUAUAACAAAAACCUGACAAACACAAAAUCUAAACUAAUUCGUCAAAUUUAAGGAUACAAUCAUGGAAUUCAAGGCUGAUACUGCCUAACUUUCUGUUGGAAAAUCAAUAAACAAGAAACUUAAAAUAGUACAUGAAUAUAAGUGGUAGAUACUAACAACUAGAGCACCUACAAUGCAACAGGAAAUUAACAUACAAAGUGCACGGUACCGUAAAUAAACUAAUACACUUUCAAACUACGCAGGUCUAUACAAUUGGAAAGAAAAUAAAAGCACAAAUUUUGCAUAUUUAGGCUACAACAACCUCAGUACCUCUUGAGUUAAAAUUAUAAAUGCCUGAUCAAAUAGCAUGUCUAGAAUGCCACAAUCAGUUGUUAUCACUUUAACUUUUCUACAUAGCAAAUUUGAAAUUUGACACAAGUAGGAAUUCAUAUAGCAGCAUACAAUUCAAAAUGUAACUUAACUUUGUUAAGCCAAUUCCAAGUUUAAGCUCAUAGCGGCAACAGCACACUUAUUUUUUUGAAUAAUUAAGAAAAAUACACCUUGUUUUUCACAAUGUCAUAACCUAAAGACAAAAUAUUCUGUAGCAGCAAUGAAUUAUCCACCACAAUUGGAGCAAAAUUCAAAAUCAAAACCACCAUAAUCAGAUCAAAAUGGGAAAAAUUCAUCUCCAGAUAAAAUAAACAUAUUUCAAAAGUAAAAAAGGAAUGAGAUCCAAACAGAGCCGAGGAACCGAAAGAGAAGCAGAUGGACUAAAAGACGGACAGAAAUAUACGAACCGGCAUAGCUGUUGGUGACGUCAACGGUGCCCUUGAAAGAGGAGCCAAGCAGAACGCCGACGACGCGCUUGCGAGUGUCCUUGGCGACCCUGUUGUAAUUGUCGACGAUGCUGAGCAAAACCAGAGGGUGAACUAUCACCUUCUCGAUCGGCCUCGCUGAGAUUUGCUGCGUUUUUAUCACAUCCAUUUCCUAAUUUCUUCUUCUUGAACUGAACUUUUUCUUUUUUUGCUUGAAUUUUGAGUUAGCUUCUUCUCCAGGAAACCUCAGCUGGCGUGUUCCAACUCAACCUGCUUGCUUUGCUGCUCUUCCUCAGUUUCGCUUUCCUCUCGCCUUUCACCGAACAAUACAUUUUUUAUAUUAUGAAAAGCUUUGUUCGUUUCGGGAUUCUUAGUUGGGCAUCAAAGCCCAAGUUGUGAAAAAAACCGCCUCAAUCUUAAUGGGCCUUGUUUGGAACAGCUAUAUUACCUUUGGGCCCCUUUAACUGGCUUGAGCUUGGGUCAAAAUAGGUAUUAUUAGGUUAACAUGUUGAAAAUAUACUUUUUUUGGGACCUUUUAUGAAGAAUCUUCGAUCCAUAAGCAAUAAGCUUAUAGCUCAAGUAGUUACGAAUAGUCACUAAUGCGCUUAAAAAUUAGUGUUCGAUUUCUCCCUCUCUAAUUCAACAGGCAAAGCAUAUACCCGGCUCCUAUCACCAUUAUAUGAGUCGCACGUGAUGAAGAGUGUGAGAGGGAAAACUGUAUGACCCCCCUCUCUAUAAGGUCCUCAUGCACUUCUCCAUUUCUAUCCCUGAGAUUCUAGAUGCCCUUUGAAGAAUAAUCACUUUACAACACUAUGAAAGGGCAGGUUUAGAAUCUCAAAAUGAAAUUACUGAAUAAUAGUUUUGGUAGUAGCAUAAUAUAAAGGGAUAGGAGAGUAGCGGAUGAGUUUUACUUUGUAAAAGGAUAAAUGAGGGUUGUGGGGAAGUGGGGAAGUAGAUUAGGACAUGAAAUUCAAAGCUGGAAGCAGACCCAAGGCCAAGAGUAAGCAUAGCAUGGACAAUUUAUGCAGCCCAAGGAGACACAUCUCAUGUGAGGACGCAAAAAUUCCAAAUUCCAAGCAUUCAUGUGGAAAACAAGAACCCAACAGAGUAAAUCACAGAGAAAUUAAUAACAACAAAGUUUUCUGAGCACAUGCAGAGGAGAAUGUCCAAGAAUUUCCAAUAUUUUAAACCAACUUUAAAAUUAAUUUCACUACUACGUAAAAUUUUCAGCUACAAAGUUUUCCACUCCAAGCUAUCUCCCCCCACACCCUCCCUUUCUGUUCACCCUUCUUCCUGCCACCAGCUAAACCCUAAAUUCUACAAAUGACAGCCAUGGCUCUACACUAUAAAGCUGGCUAACUAGAAGUUUUUUCUUUUUCUUAUAACAAUUGAAGCCUGUAAUUUAAAGGAAGCUUAAGCGCAGAUCCAAUGGUGGAUGGUCCAUUUCUGUCCCAACCCUGUAAGCAAAAGCUGUAGCCUCUUUGCAGUAUUCGUUUGCAUGAAAUCUCAUCUUCUCCGCUUCUGAUUCGUCGAAGGAGUUUACUGGGAAAAGUUGAAGGGUCUCAAUCACUCUCGCCGGCUCCGAAACUUGAUUUAGUUCUGCAAAGACGACCACAAAAAUCAAACAUUUAAAAGAGCAGGAAAAAAAAAAGAGUAAAAAAGAUAAGUUUCUCUUUGUUUCUUGAGAAAGUGAUCUGAGAGAUUAAAAAAACAGUUACUUCAAAGAGAAAAUAUCUUUUAACAGCCACUAAUAGCGUACGUUUUGGAGAAGAAAUCUUGUCAUGAUCUCGACGAGUGAAAUCCUUGUCAUCGAUGGAAACUUUGCGGCGUUUCUGUCUUUCUCUGGCUUUGUGAUUCUGAAACCAAUAGAAAACGUUUUUGCUCUCGAUCUUUCCAUAAAAGCUUAGCUGAGAGGAGAUUUUCUGAAUCUGAUCAGUGCUCGGCGUACGGAGUCCAGACCUGAACAGGUCAGUUAGAACUUUAACCUGUUCAGUAGUCGGAUUCCAACGCCCGCACUUGGUUCCAUUAUUAUUGCCAUUGCCACCACCACCACUGCCGCGAAAACUCGCAGCUUUAAUGCAAAACCCUGACAUGCCCUCAUCCAUAUUUGAUUUUUCAGCUUCAAAUGCCUAGAAACGAAACAAGUCUCUGCUGCCUCAGAACUUCCUUUCUGAGCUUCUGAACUCAAAACAGUGUGAACCCGUGUGCAUAUAUAAUACCAUAAAGUGGAUACUUUAUUUAUUAAUCUUUUGUGUUACAUUUUUUAUUUGCGGAGUAGGUUUUUGUUUUAUUGAAAUCAACCCUUUGUUUAUAUAUUAAUCUGCGUUGUUUUUAGGGAAUUUGAGAUUGAAUUAUGUGGAUUUGUUCGUUUCAAUUAUCUUUUCCCGGUUUUUUGUGCUGAGAGAUAUAAAUAGAGAGACAUGCGUGAAAGCUGCCACUGUUCAACAUUGGUCGUCGAGCAGACAAGAUGUGAGUUUUCACUAAUAAUGCAUAAAAUUGUAAUUGAAACUCUCUAACAGCAUUUUUUAUUUCCUUGAGUUCAUAUGGAUAUAUAAAAUUUUCUUUAGGGUUUUUAUGCUUUGCACUAAAAUAUAUAUCGGGGAGAUUCUUCUAUAAGUAUUUAAGGUAAUAAUUUGUUACGUAUUUUUAAUCUCGACUGUGUGAUUGCUUUCACUAGAUGUAUUGGUAGAUUUAAUAUGCAAUAUAUAUGCAAUCCAACGAUCGACAAUAUAAAUAUAUAACUAAUUUUUAACAUAAAAUACUUAUUGAAGAAUUCUCGUAUAUAUGCUUAUUCUAAGAUGUUGAGUUUUGUAAAUCUCAUGCUCUAGAAUAGUAGACUAAUCUAGUGCGUCCAAGACCACCAGGACACGUGAGUAAAGCCAAGCAUCAUUUUUAAUUAUGUUGGUGUGUUGCUAAAGAUCAUAUAGAAGAGUGCAAUUUGAUGGAUUAUCUUAACUGGGCAAUUUUUCAAAAGAAAGAUCGAUGCAAGUGAAAGUCAAAAUUUCACAUUGUCUGAUCCAAAUUGGACGGUUGUGAUCGCAACAGACUGACAAAGAUACCGAGUUAGGUUGACCCUAAGACUAAGUAGAGCUCAGUCAAAUAGUGUGGGGUUAAAUCUCCUUUUAAGGGUGUGUGGGAACAUAAACAAAGCGACAAUAAAGCCACCAAAUUGAAAUAUGGGGGAGGGACAAGUCAUGACCAGCCAAAAGAGGGGGACAAAUUGGAUUUUCUUAUGUCAUGUGCCUCCUGUCGUAAGCAACUACAUGCCCCUUUUUCCAGUCACUUGGUUGCUUCAUCCUUAGCUUCAAAUAUAUAUACAACAAAUUUUAAAACACACUUAUCAUUUGCUUGUAGGUACACGAUUCUGGGAGUGAUCAAAAGUCUAGGUGAUAUUUUGUAGUUUUGGGUUUGUCCUUACACAGGGAAUAUAUCAUACAUGGUUGAAUACAUAGUCAUGUCAUGAUGACUUUGCAUGCAGUUUCCAUUUUAGAUAUGGAAUUGGAAAUAACAUCGGUGCAUGUUAUCGUAUUAUCAUGAAAAAGUGAAAUUUGAACUUGAGAUCUCUUUGAAAUAUAGUAUGUAACAUUAAUAUACUUGAUAGUAACUUGAAACAUACCUUCAAAACGAAGAAAAGGGUUUAGUUUAGUGCAUGGUUUGGUAUUGAGACUUUGCAUAUAGUAUCCGUCCUAGAUCUGAAAUUGGAAACAACAUCAAUUCAUGUUAUUGUAUUAUCGUGAAAAGGUGGAAUUCGAACUCGACAUCUCUCCUAACAUAAUAAAUGUUAAUAAAUGUUGUGAAUGCUUGCUUGUGAAUCUGGAAAUGGUCUUGAUCCAUUUGAUUUAUUAUAGUUAUAUUUAGCGUGUGACAAAAUCCCAAGAAAAGUCUUGGAGCAUGCAUGGUUUGGUUUGGUCUCUCAAGAAUUUGAAUAGUAAAUCUAGUAAUUGGGUAGUCAAGAGAAGAGCAGUAGCGCAGUGCCAAGUUGUGUUGCACACUUUCGACAAUUCCCGAGGAUAUGUUUGUAUUCACGAGCAAAAUAUUUGUCUGUUUGCACUUGGCACAAUAGUUAGCUGACUGCUGUCUGUGAAUGUGGUCUGGCUAACUCCUGGGAGCUUUAACUAAUUAAUUAAUUUGAACUAAACUAAUUAAACCUAAUUAAAGAACAUGUUAUGCAGGUGAGUGAGUGAGUGAGUGAGUGAGUGGUGACGAUGAUCACAUAUGAUAUAGUACAAGCGCACUAGGGUUUGCUGGGUUAGUGCCAACCCAUCCUACCCGUCAUCUUGAACAUGUUCCUGUUUGGAAGCAGAGACUUACUUGGAGGAACAUGUCUUUUGUUUUGUUUAGAUGAAUUUUAAGAUGAGUGAAACUUGAUUGAUUAUCAUAUGAUAUCAUAUAGCUAGGCUGAAAGGCCAGCAGCUAAUGGAACGCAUGCUUCUCGAUGAAUGCAUAAUUACUAACAAGUACAUUUGACUGAGAUGAGAUGAGAGGAGACCAAACCAGACUCAAAAUUAAAAUCAAACAUUUGAAAGGGGAGAUUGGUAAAAGUGCCAUGCUGUCCUGUUUGGCUGUCUUUUGCAAUUGUCCAUCUACACCCUACACAAACUUUUUCAUUCAUAUAUAUAUAUAUGAGAUGAGUUUGAGAGACAUGAGAUUGAGACAGAGAGAAACGAGAAAGAUGUGUUUAUUAUGUGUAUGUGGAGAGGGUGAAUGCGGAAAACGUGAGAUUCGAGAAGGCUUAGCUAGAAUUAGGGCACGCGUGAAAUCCAGGCCGCCCCCUAAAAAUCUCCCUCCUUUUUCGACUUUAUUGUCUCCAUUGCAGCUUAUAAUUAAGCACUAAGCAGCAGUGGAAGGUUCACCGCCAUCAUCCAGACAAAAAGGCCAAAAGCCAGCCCACUUACUUACCGUUCAUAUUUUAUAAGAGAGCAGAGAAUAUGAUUUUGGGGGAUUAAGACGUUGUGGAUAUCCCAUCCAAUCAUGCUUGGCUGCUGCUGCUGCCUGCUGGCAUCUCAUUAAUGGGCAAAGGCCAAACUCACUUACUGAAACCCACUAUAAUCAUAAUAAUUCCACUUGUUAAUUGCAUAUGUACUUAGCAUCCUUUCUGUUUGUUGCUACCACUGAUAACCAACUAGAUUUUUUAUUUUUAUUUUUAUACAAGCAAUGUUGGGGGUGGAGGUUUCCUCACCAGGAAGGCUAUAAUGAGGUGUUUAAAGUGAGAAGGCUAUUUAAAGAGGUCAAUCUCAACAUAAAAAAAAUGUAAAGAAAUCAUGAGACUUAAACAUUUUAAAUGUUUUGAUGGUAGGAUUGACCUCCUCACUUUAAACUCCCCAUUGUAGCCUCUUCCAUUUUCUCACACACUCUAUAAGUCAAUGCCCUUUUUCGUUGGACCAAACACAUUUGCUCACUAAAUCUUUUUUAGUAGAGUUAAUUCUCUUCACAAUUUCAAAAACAUUUUCAAGUUCGAAUUCUCUACUCUAGCAUCGAUUUUUUAUGUAACUACCAGGAUCUGUGACAUUUUCCCAUCCGGUAAUUUCAACAGAUUCAUUGGGGAACUCUGGAGUUGUCCCCAAGGGCACUUUAUUAAAGAUCGCGUACGACUAUCAAAUGCAAGUAAUAUAGUUGUAGAUGCCCCGUGAUAAGUUAAUUUGACAGUAAUUAACUUUCAAGUUUUCCACUCGUUUCUCCCAAACAUGAAGAUUAUCAUAUUGUUUACGGAAUACAACACCCAUCGUUCAUAUUUCGGAUUUCACCUUCAUCAUAAAGUUGAAAAUCACGCGCAGUUCGGGGAAGGCUUCCAUGGUGAAUCUGUAUUGGAAGAAAAUAAAGGCAUAUGCUCUCUCAUUCUACGGGAUACAAGACCAAGCCAAGUAGGAAUCCCAAAUCAGUUUACUGUUCUGCUACUAAAAAGCGAAGUAUGGAUAACGGAUUCAGAAAUGACCAGAAGCAGCAAAAAGGUAACAUCCUAUUCUAGAUGUAGUAAAGGUACAAAGAUAAAGCAGAAUCCUCACACGCCAAUGCACAGAAACGAGAGAUAUGAACCAUAACAUUAGCUCCAAAAAUGAUCAUGUUUCUAGCCGACAGUUAAAAGCAAUCUUGAAAUGAUUGAAAAAUCCUACCUAUACUUUCAAUGAAAUAAAGAUAUUACAACCUUCUCUGGAAACAAAGGCCACGUUCUCACACUUGGCCAUAUAUCCCUAACAGAUGACUUCUUAAAAGUAGAAUUGUCUUGACAGUAGAUUCUGUAAGCAAAUAGGAAUUACAGAACCUGCGCAGCCGUGUUCAACUUUUCGGCUAGGGUGAGCUGUGUCCUGGUGAUGCUUGACAAAUAGAGCAAGACCAAAUUGUCCUGUAAGGAACAAAAGAAAAGGACAAGUUUCAUGUCAGACAAUCUCCCGCAAACCAGGUAGCAAAAUUAGUAACUAGACCCACUCCACAGGUUCUAUAAGAUUGAAAUAUAAGAACAUCAAUUGGAAACAUAUUGAAGAAAGUCAACAAAUAUACUAAAACUAAAUCCUUCCUGAUGCAACAAAAUGAAUCAGACUAUAUUAGUACCUGCAGGCUGUCAUUCACAAGCUUAUCAAAAGCUGUAGGAGAUAAUUUCGGAAGAGAUGCAACUGCAUCUAAGAGAAAUCUCCCUAUGUUGUUAUCGGGUUCAACACGACUUUCCUGAAAACAAGAUCCAUUAUCAAAUUUAAGAAAAAUCAAGCAAGACUGACUCAUAAAAAGGUUAAACCUCCUUACUAACCACAACAUUGUCAACAUAUUUGUAAACAUCAUCAAUUAAAGCUAGGAGUCGCUCCAUUGAGGCUUCCAUUCCUUCCAAAUCAGUAGGGAGUUUGUCAACCAUUGUGGUCUUUAGAAUAUCAUCUGCCAUCAUGGAAAAACAUAUGAUUUCAAACCAGACUAGCAUCAUGCUUAAAUGCCCAAACAAUCAUAUGCAAAAAAAUUAGUAGAAAGCUUGAGUUCAACCAAUAUACUGAAUAAAAGCUAAGACAAACAUGACACAUAAGCGAUUUCUGAUUGAUGAGAAAAGCACAUAGCAGUACGGAAAUAUAACAGACUUAAAAGAAACAAGCAACACUGCAGCUCCUAUUUUAAACCAAACCUUCAUUUUCAUCAGUAUUGUAAUCUAAUAUAUAUACAAAUACACACAAUUCUUCUCUGCUGAAGUCCACAAGCAAUGUCACGUAUUUCGACUGUCAAAUCAAAUCUAGAAAUCUCAGAUGCACGGGGAGUCAUAUGCAUCUAAAUACAUUCCAACUUGCCAUAUUUGAUCCAACGGAUGGGAGAGAGAGAAUUUUGUGUGUGAAUGGGUUCUAUACGUGCAUGUGUGUCUAUCUACAAUAACCGUUCAGAACGCAAUGCUUGACAGAAUGUUAGUCAACCACAAACAAACUGCUCCUUUUUGACGAGUAGAACCCCCAUAUUUUCACAAGGUCAGCAAACUGUUGUUGAAAUAUGUAAUCACGUAUUUGUACUAAUGCUCAGAAUAACAAGUUCCUUCGAGUUUCCUCCAAAGCUUAGUGAACAAGUUACUUUUGUUCAAUCAAUUCAGAAAAUUAUUCAAGGAUUCUGAAGUGAAGGUGUUGUGUGUGUAUGAGAGAAAACAUGGAUCAACUAUGAUACUGAAAACAAUGAGGGAUUAGAAGAUUACAUCCAACUCUCUCAGCUUCAACCAUACGAAGAUCGAGAGGAAUUUCUUGAAACUGUGCUGCAAGUUGCCGAUCUCCAAGAGACAAAUUCACUGAAACAUAGGCUUUAAUGGUACCCUCCCCAUUUCUAAAUCCAGUAUCAACGGUCAAAUGAACAGGGUUGGGAGCCUCCCUAGAAUAGAACUCAUGGAUCAAUACGCUACCCCCAGUAACUCCAAAACCAGUAGAAUACCUACAAGCAUUCAUACAGCCACAACAAUAAACAUGUUAACCAACUUGGAAAUAUUACAAAUCUCCAUCACAUAAGUUUAUACUAGCAUAUAUAAGGUUAAAAUACAUGUUCAAAUUUCACGAAACUAACAUGGGGACCAUUGAUUUCAUGCUAUCACCACAAAUGUACUAAACAAAUUUUCCACCACAUCCUUUUUCCUUUUUACAAAUUCUUAAUAUUUGGCAACGAGCUUAACCACUAGUUAAAGAAAAUCCCAUUGGAAGAGUUAGAAAACUUGAUAAAUUUCUGAAGUUUUCUACUCCACAAAUGUCAAUAAGUUAUGUGUUACGCACUGAAUUAUAACACAAAUCACACUAAUGAAGAAACAUUCAGUCAGAAUGAGUAUUAUUAUUACACGCAAAAUAGUUAGAAUUCCCAACAAAAAUUGCCUGAAAAUUUGCAUAUCAAUAACUAAGAAAACUAAAAUAAGAGAAAGGCAUCAUGACAUUUACCAUCCAACAAUGACUUCCUUUGGAUUCACCUUUUGCUGGGAUAUGAGCAUAUUGUGAUGGUAAUCGAUAUCUAAAGCAACCUGCAAAGUAGACAUCACACAAAAAAUUACUAAAUCAGUCAGCUGAUCUUGAAGAAGAUUAAGUUAAUUAACUACAAUUAUAACAUCAACCAAGCACGAAGCAAGGGGGAAAAUUAAAAUCACUAUAAAUUAAUAUCAAAAUUCAAAACAAAGACAUCAGGGAAAGCAGAGGACCUGGUCAGCGCUCUCGUUAUGAGGAACGGCGUAAGAGUUUCUAAUAUCGACUGUGCCAUCAGGCAGGACAGAGCCGAGGAGCGUGCCAAUAACGCGCUCGGCUUGGUCAGGACGCCUGACAUAGCAAUCGCAGAUGUUGAAGAUGACGAGAGGAUGAACCUUCGCCGACAAGCUCGAUGACGAAGACGUGGAGAACUGCAAAACUGUGUGCUCGAUCACCGCCAUUCUCUCUCAGCGUUAUGGAUCUGGUUUGCUUGGGGCUAAGAGAGUUUGCGAGAGAAGGAGCACAAGGAUGGCGCGAGCAAUUAGGGUUUUGGUGGAUAGAGAAGAGAUGAGAGGAGAUAUUGGACUUUACCUUCUUCUUUUUUGAAAAGAAGUUGUAUGUCGGCCUUUUAACUGUAAACAGUGAAUAGGCUGACUUUAGCCCAAUGCUUAGCAUGUCACCAUAUGUCUAAUGGGCCGACAAAAACGCUAACUAGAGAAAUAUAGCCAACUAUAUUUUACCAUGAAACUCCUAUAAUUUCUUUUCUUGAGUUUACUUACACGUGUGGAAUAAUAAAAGAAAUUAUAGGAGUUUCGUAGCAAAAUUUGUAAUCAAAUACUCUGACCAAAAAAAAGAGUAUUACUUUUAUGCUCAUAGCAUAAACAAUGUUAACUCUUUUCAAAAUAGUCAUCUACUCCUCUUGUGGCUCUGAAUUGUGAAAAAGUUAAGUUAUUAAACAAUAAAGGAGAAGUACAUUAUUACUAUUUUUGAAUGUCAAUAACAACUUCCGUUACUAAACUUUGGGCAAAUUGAUUAGAUAUUUCAUCUUCUUACUUAUUACUUUCUGUCAACCUCACGAAACAGGCUCUAGCUCAAGUUGCAUUGUAAGAAAUUUAGUAAAACAUAAAGUAUGGUCACCUGUCCAAUCCCAACCAUGCGUUUGUUGUUAUAUUCCUUUUUAUUUUGCCCUCCAUCUCCAUUGCAACCUGCUCAUUUCCCUUUUCAAAUUUCCCACAUGUUGAUGUGCCAGCUGCCAACACUAACUCCAAAAAGCGUAUAAAGAAUGAUGAAUAAUUAGCUCUAAAGACAAAUGAGUUUGGAUGUGUUUAGGAUUUUCUAUUAAGCAAACUAGCUUAUUGCAUGAAUGGUUGUCAAAUUUGAAGUCACAUGAAGGCCGCCAAAGGAGCAAACUUGAGGUGCUUGUUAUGAUGCCGUAGAGAAUCGAACUUGAGAUCUAUGAUCUGUAAGUCCAGAUUCUGUUAGCUCUUAUGCUAAGAUGUUAGACGAUAAUGAUGGAUGGAAAUUGAGAAUUUUCCUCUCUCUUUUUCAACAAAAGUUUGGCAUGUCUUAAAUGAGAUUAGGUCAGUGGUCCUGUAAUGCUAUGAUUAGAUGAAAUGUGGGUUUUAUUUUUCCAGACUAAUUAUUGAGAUAUGUAAUUAAGCUCAUUUCAUUUCUUUUAAUCUGUCUCACAAUUAUGCAAAUUGCUGACAUGCAGCACAGGAUGAUGAAAGGACUGGAGCUUCUCAAAGUCAAAGAACCUACCGAGAGAGCAAAACCACAGCCUCAUCCGUUGCUAGGUGGCCACCUAACUUCAACAACUCUCUCUGUCUCUCUGUCUCUCUCUCUCGGUUUUUUCAAAAUUUAAAAAGAAAGAAUUUCAAUUUGUUUGCUUGUGUGUGGUGGAGAUGAGAUGAAAGUAGGAAUGGUCGGUGUUAUUUCUGAAUUGAAAAGGACACAUUUCACUGCCAAAUUACAUACAAUGAGCACUCACAUCAGAUGGGGGCCUUUGCCUAAAAACGAAAGGAAACCAGGGCCGUUGAUUCUUGAAGCAGAUCAAAUCAAACACAUGCUUUGCUGCUCAUUAACACUUGCUGAAAUACGUACAAAAUACCACCAAAUACACUUAACAACCAUACACAGAAAAGUAAAUAAACAAACUCGAUCGAUCGGCUUCUUGAGGGAGCUCGAUAAGUACACGUACGCAUCAUGUUGACGAUCAUCAUAAACCAUUAACACAGAAAUUUAAGACUUGGACUUGAAGGGGAUGGCUCUGAUCACAACCACGUGGUACAAAGCUGCAAGUGCUGCCCCAAUGAAUGGUCCAACCCAGAAAAUCCACUGCAACAUUAUUUUAAAAUACAAAAAAUUAGGGUUUAAAAAAAAUCAUUAAAUUGCUCUCAAACUUUUAGAUGGGUCCUCCUUGAAAGGGAAAUUAAAGACUAUUGGAUCCAAGUUUGAAUCUAGCAUUAGGUAGUGAAUACGUCCUCUUGCACUCAAAUUCGAGUUUUCUCUCCUUAAUUUAUAGCCGUUUAUGAUACGGCUUGUAUUUUUAAAAAGAAAAAUAGAUCAAUCAGAAAGGCUUACAUGGUCAUCCCAUGCAUGCUUCUUGUUGUAGAUGAUGGCAGCACCAAGACUCCUAGCUGGGUUGAUACCAGUUCCAGUGAUGGGGAUGGUAGCCAAGUGCACCAAGAACACAGCGAACCCAAUAGGCAAAGGUGCCAAAAUCUGUUAAUCAAACCCAAUUAUUCAAAUUAACAACCGAUUAAUCACCAGUUAACAAAUUAACACGAUCCAGCUAGGCUAAGGAAAAUGAUCAAACACUUAAUUAGCAUACAUACCGGAACAUGGGAGUCUCUGGCGCUGCGCUUGGCAUCAGUGGCCGAGAAAACUGUGUAGACAAGAACAAAGGUGCCAACGAUCUCAGCACCAAGCCCUGAUCCCUUGGUGUAGCCAUGGGCUACAGAGUUGGCCCCGCCACCAAGCAACUCGAAGUUGCGGCUCUUCUCGAAGCCCUUCACCACCGCCGCACCGGCGAUCGCCCCAAGCGUCUGCAUCACGAUGUAGAAAACCGCCCUUGUCAGCGACAGCUUCCGGGCCAAAAACAGCCCGAACGUCACCGCCGGGUUUAUGUGACCCCCUG